This 214-nucleotide ribosomal RNA is filed under the name uncultured bacterium. RNAcentral's name for it is "partial 16S ribosomal RNA". It matches the Rfam family "Bacterial small subunit ribosomal RNA", at positions 524 to 735 of the family's 1533-position model. The record is from RNAcentral.
UACGUAGGUGGCAAGCGUUGUCCGGAUUUACUGGGCGUAAAGGGCAGGCAGGCGGACUGUUAAGUAGAAAGUGAAAGGUUGGAGCUCAACUCCAACAUUGCUUUCUAUACUGGCAGUCUUGAAUCCCGGAGGGGAAAGCGGAACGACGACGUGUAGCGGUGAAAUGCGUUGAUAUGUGUCGGAACACCAAUGGCGAAGGCAGCUUUCGUGGACG